This 1308-nucleotide ribosomal RNA is filed under the name Neotermes insularis. RNAcentral describes it as "16S ribosomal RNA". The stretch from base 865 to 1235 matches the Rfam family "Bacterial large subunit ribosomal RNA", at positions 2073 to 2647 of the family's 2925-position model. The record is from RNAcentral. Lineage: Eukaryota; Metazoa; Arthropoda; Insecta; Blattodea; Kalotermitidae.
UGCGGAUUAUUUUAUUUUUGUUUGUGUUUUAUUGUUAUUUUUGGCAAAGUAUUGAUUUGUUAUUGUAUUUCCUAUUGAUUUAAUUCUUUUUGUUAUAGUUUAUUAGUACCGUGUGGGGCCUUGGAUUUUGCUUUUGUAAGUUGAUUUUUUUUGUUGUACCUUGUGUAUCAGGGUUUACUUAUUUUUAUUAUUUAUUUUUAUUUCCCGAUUUCGGAGGAGUUAAGUUAUUUGUUUAAGUUAUUGUGUUAUUAGUAUUUAUAACAUUAAUUUGGUAGUGAUAUGUUAUUCGUCUUUGAUGGUAUCUGGUUUCUUGAGAAAUGAAUUUAAUUUACACUUUUUGUUUAAUGGUCAUUUUUGUUUGUCUUUUUUAAUUUGAGGUGAAGGUAUUGGGGGAUAAGCUUUGAUUCUUUUUUAUAAUGGUAAUUCAUUUAAGUUGUUUUGUGGACUUUAUGUUGGUUAUUUAUUUAAGUAUUUUAAAAUUUUACUGCUUGUUAUUUGUGAUUUUGGUUUUAUUUAAUUUUUUAUUGAGAUGUUUGGUUGAAUUUUUUGACUAUUGUACUUAUGGUUGAAUUAGUAUAUUUGGAUUUUAUAUAAUUUUGCUUUGAUGUUAAUUUUCUUAGAGGAAUUAGGCAAAGGGUUGAUGUUCGCCUGUUUAUCAAAAACAUCUCUUCUUGUUAUUAAUUUGAAGUAUGGUCUGCCCACUGAUAUGUAUUGAAGGGCCGCGGUAUUUUGACCGUGCAAAGGUAGCGUAAUCAUUAGUUCUUUAAUUGUGAACUGGUAUGAAUGGCUUGACGAGACAUCAUCUGUCUUUAUUUUGGAAUUUCUUAUUGAAUUUGGUCUUUAGGUAAAAAUACCUAGAUUUUUUUAUGGGACGAGAAGACCCUAUAGAGUUUUAUAUAUUUUUUUCUUUAUGGUUUGUUUAAGUGUUGUGUGAAUUAUAAUUGUAUUUUGUUGGGGCGAUGGGAGGAUAGAAUUAACCCCUCCGUUGUUUUUUUCAUUUAUUUAUGUUUUUUUGAUCCUUUAAUAUUGAUUGUAAGAUUAAAUUACCUUAGGGAUAACAGCGUAAUCUUUCUUGAGAGUUCAUAUUGACAGGAGGGUUUGCGACCUCGAUGUUGGAUUAAGAUGAAUUUUUGGUGUAGAGGCUUUAAAUAAGUUAUAUUAGGUCUGUUCGACCUUUAAAAUCUUACAUGAUCUGAGUUCAAACCGGCGUGAGCCAGGUUGGUUUCUAUCUAUAAUUUUUUUUAAUUUCUUAGUACGAGAGGACCAGAUAUUGGGAAUAAUUUUCUUUGCUUUGAAUUUUAUUAAUUU